UUUAUUUUAUUUUUAAAAAAGAAAAAGAAAAAGAAAUUAAGCCUUAAUCUAUGUCAAGAAUUUCAUCAACAGAACAUGUAAUUGAUGAUCUUGUCCUCGUCAUUUUCACUAAAAUUUUGAGUUAUGUUUUAUUUCCCAGAAAAAAUAAAUAAAUAAUGUUUGUAUUAUAUAUUGUAUAGAAUAUCUCAAGUCAAUAUUGGAACACCCUCAGCCAAGGCUAAUUAAGUUUGUUAAUUAACCUUAAAGUUCCAAAGGCGCCAAGGUAACGUAAAUCAUAAUAAGAAAAUAUAAUUUACGGAAUCAAGCGGUCAAACAUUAAAUCAUAAUAACAAAACUAAAUUAGUGAAGUGAAUUUCCAUCUGUGCCCUGUGAAACUUAUUUUAAAAUAAAAAAAAAAUGCUUCAAGAUCGGUGAGGCGGUGCCUAGGAGGAAAUGAGCUUUGUUAAAAUUGAAUUUUUCUAUGCAUAUAUAGCGAUAUCAACCGUUUCUGAACAUAAAAAAACUUCCAAACAACCCACCGGCCAACAGAAUUUACCUCAAUCCCCAACAAAAAAAAAAAAAGCUCAAACAAGCUAGCUAGAAAAAAACAAGGAUUGGUAUAUAGACUACACAUUUGUUCACUACACAAGUACAUGCACAUGGAGAUAAUGCAUUGUUUAGGGUCCCCUCAACUCAUGAAAAGGAAUAUAUUCCAUUUAUGGGCAGCAAAAUGAUGCACUUGACGAAAGGAAAAACCAUACAAGAAAACUUGCGACCCGAAUCUAGCUAGCUAGUCUCAAUUCUUUCACUGCCUAUAAAUAGAAACUCCAAGGCUUCCCAUUAGAGCAGGAACUUGAGAAGAAGUGAGGUCUAACAUGAAGAUCAAAGUUUUGUUUGGUAGCCAAGAAUGACCUGCCUCAUUUACUUGCAAGAGGUUACAACGUUUGGCAUUCAUGCCUAGGAACUAACCUUGUCGGAUUCCCAGGCAGGUCAUUCUGGCUAAAUUGACAAGCUUUUUUCUCUCAUGUUAGACCUUCUCUUCUUCAC
RNAcentral lists this non-coding RNA (1026 nucleotides) under Betula luminifera. Lineage: Eukaryota; Viridiplantae; Streptophyta; Magnoliopsida; Fagales; Betulaceae. The record is from RNAcentral.